RNAcentral lists this ribosomal RNA (1376 nucleotides) under uncultured organism. Its description in RNAcentral is "bacterial SSU rRNA". It matches the Rfam family "Bacterial small subunit ribosomal RNA", at positions 135 to 1479 of the family's 1533-position model. The record is from RNAcentral.
GGACCGGGAUAAUUCCUGGAAACGGGUUGUAAUACCGGAUGAGACCACGUCGUCCACGGGCGAUGGGGUCAAAGUCGUGGGACCCUUCGGGGCCACGAGCCCGGGGAGCGGACUAGCCCCGAUUAGCUUGAUGGUGGGGUAACGGCCCACCAUGGCGAUGAUCGGUAGCCGGCCUGAGAGGGUGUUCGGCCACACUGGGACUGAGACACUGCCCAGACUCCUACGGGAGGCUGCAGUCGCGAAUCAUUCACAAUGGACGCAAGUCUGAUGAUGCCACGCCGCGUGUAGGAUGAAGGCCCUAGGGCUGUAAACUACUGUCAAGCGAGGGGAACCUUCACGAUACAAGAUGUCGUGGACUGACUGCUCGCUAAAGGAAGGUCCGGCUAAACACGUGCCAGCAGCCGCGGUAAUACGUGUGGACCAAGCGUUGUUCGGAAUUACUGGGCUUAAAGGGUGCGUAGGCGGCCUGGCAAGUCAGUGGUGAAAGUCCGCCGCCCAACGGUGGAAUUGCCAUUGAUACUGCCUGGCUCGAGUGUGCUAGGGGGAUGCGGAAGGAGUGGUGUAGCGGUGAAAUGCGUAGAUNUCACUCGGAAGGCCGGGGGCGAAGGCGGCAUCCUGGGGCACAACUGACGCUGAGGCGCGAAAGCGUGGGGAGCAAACAGGAUUAGAUACCCUGGUAGUCCACGCCGUAAACGAUGAGCACUAGAUGGCUGAUACUUGUGAUUGGCUGUCGUAGGGAAACCGAUAAGUGCUCCGCCUGGGGAGUAUGGUCGGCAAGGCUGAAACUCAAAGGAAUUGACGGGGGCUCACACAAGCGGUGGAGGAUGUGGUUUAAUUCGAAGCAACGCGAAGAACCUUACCAGGCCCUUGACAUGCAGGGAUAACCGUGGUGAAAGCCGCGGGAUUUGCCUUUACGGGUGUAACCUGCACAGGUGCUGCAUGGCUGUCGUCAGCUCGUGCCCGUGAGGGUGUUUAGGUUAAGUCCUUUAACGAGCGAAACCCCUAUCGUCAGUUGCCAUCGGUUCGCCGGGGACUCUGGCGAGACUGCCGCGUUGAAGCAGGAGGAAGGUGGGGACGACGUCAAGUCAUCAUGGCCCUUAUGGUCUGGGCUACACACGUCCUACAAUGGGCGGUACAGAGGGUUGCCAAGCCGCGAGGCGGAGCCAAUCCCUUAAAGCCGUCCCCAGUUCGGAUAGCAGGCUGCAAUUCGCCUGCUUGAAGCCGGAAUCGCUAGUAAUCGCGGGUCAGCUAUACCGCGGUGAAUCUGUUCCUGAGCCUUGUACACACCGCCCGUCAAGCCACCCGAAUUGGUCGCACCACGAAGUCAUAGUUCCAACCUCGUGAGGGACGUGCCGAAGGUGAGGCUGGUAAGGGGG